UAGGUAAUCUUCCGCAAUGGACGAAAGUCUGACGGAGCAACGCCGCGUUAGUGAAGAAGGAUUUCGGUUCGUAAAACUCUGUUGUUAGGGAAGAAAAAAUUUAUAGUAACUAUAUACAAAAGAGACGGUACCUAACCAGAAAGCCACGGCUAAUUACGUGACAGCAGCCGCGGUAAUACGUAGGUGGCAAGCGUUGUCCGGAAUUAUUGGGCGUAAAGCGCACGCCGGUGGUUUAGAAAGUCUGAUGUGAAAGCCCACGGCUCAACCGUGGAGGGUCAUUGGAAACUAAUAAACUUGAGUGCAGGAGAGAAAAGUGGAAUUCCUAGUGUAGCGGUGAACUGCGUAGAGAUUAGGAGGAACCCCGGUGGCGAAAGCGGCUUUUUGGCCUGCAACUGACACUGAGGCGCGAAAGCGUGGGGAGCAAACAGG
RNAcentral lists this ribosomal RNA (429 nucleotides) under Verrucomicrobiota bacterium. RNAcentral's name for it is "Verrucomicrobia bacterium partial 16S ribosomal RNA". It matches the Rfam family "Bacterial small subunit ribosomal RNA", at positions 355 to 776 of the family's 1533-position model. Lineage: Bacteria; Pseudomonadati; Verrucomicrobiota. The record is from RNAcentral.